Molecule: transfer RNA, 73 nt
Filed under: Candidatus Bathyarchaeota archaeon
Lineage: Archaea; Thermoproteati; Candidatus Bathyarchaeota
Description: tRNA-Ala
Rfam family: tRNA
About the family: Transfer RNA (tRNA) molecules are approximately 80 nucleotides in length. Their secondary structure includes four short double-helical elements and three loops (D, anti-codon, and T loops).
Source: RNAcentral
GGCCGGUAGUUCAGCCUGGAGGAAUGCUCGGGCGGCAUCCGAGUGGUCGAGGGUUCGAAUCCCUCCCGGUCCA